Molecule: ribosomal RNA, 253 nt
Filed under: uncultured bacterium
Lineage: Bacteria
Description: partial 16S ribosomal RNA
Rfam family: Bacterial small subunit ribosomal RNA
Source: RNAcentral
UACGUAGGGGGCAAGCGUUGUUCGGAAUUAUUGGGCGUAAAGAGCGUGUAGGCGGUUUGGUAGGUCCGCUGUGAAAACUCGAGGCUCAACCUCGAGAUGCCGGUGGAAACCAUCAGACUAGAGUCCGGAAGAGGAGAGUGGAAUUCCUGGUGUAGCGGUGAAAUGCGUAGAGAUCGGAAAGAACACCAACGGCGAAAGCGCCCUGCUGGGCCGACACUGACACUGAGAGACGAAAGCGAGGGGAGCGAAUGGG